GAUGAACGCUAGCGGCAGGCUUAACACAUGCAAGUCGAGGGGCAACAGGUGUAGCAAUACAUGCUGGCGACCGGCGCACGGGUGAGUAACGCGUAUGCAACCUACCCAUAACAGGGGGAUAGCUCCCGGAAACGGAAAUUAAUACCCCAUAGGAUUCCUGGGCCGCAUGGCCUGGGGAUUAAAACUACGGUGGUUAUGGAUGGGCAUGCGUGCCAUUAGCUAGUUGGCGGGGUAACGGCCCACCAAGGCUACGAUGGCUAGGGGGUCUAAAAGGAUGAUCCCCCACACUGGUACUGAGACACGGACCAGACUCCUACGGGUGGCAG
Molecule: ribosomal RNA, 326 nt
Filed under: uncultured Bacteroidota bacterium
Lineage: Bacteria; Pseudomonadati; Bacteroidota
Description: bacterial SSU rRNA
Rfam family: Bacterial small subunit ribosomal RNA
Source: RNAcentral